UAGCUGUCUUAUCAAUUUCUUUCAACUAGAGCAGGUAAAAGAACUACUCAGUUUUAGAUUCUGAUAUUAUUACUACUGAUGAAUCUCAACUGGGGCGGAAGAUUCGGAAAGGUGUGUCUGAUCACCACCAACUUCUUAAUUACUGUAGUGGGACUAGGGAUGGUCACUGUGGGGGCCCUAGCUGUAAGGGACAUGGCAACCGUAAACAAGGACAAAAUCAAACCUCUUCUGGACUCACUCUCAGUAGAUUCCUUCAGCGUAGGCGUGGUCAACAGUCUGUCCAUCAUUAUCAUAGUUGUCGGAGUCUUCAUUUUCUUUGUGGCUGGACUGGGUAUAUAUGGCGCCUGUUGUCAAAAUAAAUACUUGCUUGUAACGGUAAGAAUGAAAC
Molecule: long non-coding RNA, 388 nt
Organism: Magallana angulata
Lineage: Eukaryota; Metazoa; Mollusca; Bivalvia; Ostreida; Ostreidae
Exons: 3
Source: RefSeq, a predicted model, not a curated record